UGGGGAAUCUUGGACAAUGGGCGAAAGCCUGAUCCAGCAAUGCCGCGUGUGGGAAGAAGGCCUUCGGGUUGUAAACCACUUUUGGCAGGAAAGAAAUCGUUUGCGAUAAUACCGCGAAUGGAUGACGGUACCUGCAGAAUAAGCACCGGCUAACUACGUGCCAGCAGCCGCGGUAAUACGUAGGGUGCGAGCGUUAAUCGGAAUUACUGGGCGUAAAGCGUGCGCAGGCGGUUGGAAAAGAUAGAUGUGAAAUCCCUGGGCUCAACCUAGGAAUUGCAUUUGUGACUGUCCGACUAGAGUACGGUAGAGGGGAGUGGAAUUCCGCGUGUAGCAGUGAAAUGCGUAGAUAUGCGGAGGAACACCGAUGGCGAAGGCAGCUCCCUGGACCUGUACUGACGCUCAUGCACGAAAGCGUGGGGAGCAAACAGG
This 429-nucleotide ribosomal RNA is filed under the name uncultured bacterium. Its description in RNAcentral is "bacterial SSU rRNA". It matches the Rfam family "Bacterial small subunit ribosomal RNA", at positions 355 to 776 of the family's 1533-position model. The record is from RNAcentral.